GCUGGGCGUGGUGGCGCACGCCUGUAAUCCCAGCUACUCAGGAGGCUGAGGCACGAGAAUCACUUGAACCGGGGAGGCAGAGGUUGCAGUGAGCUGAGAUUGCACCACUGCACUCCAGCCUGGGUGACAGAGUGAGAUUCUGUCUCAA
RNAcentral lists this non-coding RNA (148 nucleotides) under Pan troglodytes (chimpanzee). The record is from Rfam by way of RNAcentral. Lineage: Eukaryota; Metazoa; Chordata; Mammalia; Primates; Hominidae.